AUAGACGAAUGGUCUUGAAAGGCCAGUCAUAGAGGGUGCGAACCCCGUAGUCGAAAUGUCGUCGCCUGUCCGGAGAGUAUCCCAAGUAGCACGGGGCCCGAGAAAUCCCGUGUGAAUCUGUCAGGACCACCUGAUAAGCCUAAAUACUCCCAGAUGACCGAUAGCGGACAAGUACCGUGAGGGAAAGGUGAAAAGUACCCCGGGAGGGGAGUGAAAUAGUACCUGAAACCGUUUGCUUACAAACCGUUGGAGCACCCUUGUUGGUGUGACAGCGUGCCUUUUGAAGAAUGAGCCUGCGAGUUAGUGAUAUGUGGCGAGGUUAACCCGUGAGGGGCAGCCGUAGCGAAAGCGAGUCUUAAUAGGGCGUAUGAGUCGCAUGUUCUAGACCCGAAGCGAAGUGAUCUAUCCAUGGCCAGGUUGAAGCGACGGUAAGACGUCGUGGAGGACCGAACCCACUUCAGUUGAAAAUGGAGGGGAUGAGCUGUGGAUAGGGGUGAAAGGCCAAUCAAACUUCGUGAUAGCUGGUUCUCUCCGAAAUGCAUUUAGGUGCAGCGUUGCGUGUUUCUUGCCGGAGGUAGAGCUACUGGAUGGACGAUGGGCCCCAAAAGGUUACUGACUUCAGCCAAACUCCGAAUGCCGGUAAGUGAGAGCGCAGCAGUGAGACGGUGGGGGAUAAGCUUCAUCGUCGAGAGGGAAACAACCCAGACCACCAUCUAAGGUCCCUAAGCGCGUGCUAAGUGGGAAAGGAUGUGGAGUUGCAUAGACAACCAGGAGGUUGGCUUAGAAGCAGCCACCCUUGAAAGAGUGCGUAAUAGCUCACUGGUCAAGUGAUUCCGCGCCGACAAUGUAACGGGGCUCAAGCACGCCACCGAAGUUGUGGCAUUUAUAUUAUAGGCAGGCCUUCGUGGUCCAGCCGUAUGGAUGGGUAGGAGAGCGUCGUGUGGCCAGCGAAGCGGCGGUGUGAACCAGCCGUGGAGGCCACACGAGUGAGAAUGCAGGCAUGAGUAGCGAAAGACGGGUGAGAAACCCGUCCUCCGAAAGACCAAGGGUUCCAGGGCCAGGCUAAUCCGCCCUGGGUAAGUCGGGACCUAAGGCGAGGCCGACAGGCGUAGUCGAUGGACAACGGGUUGAUAUUCCCGUACCGAUGAAGAACCGCCCAAGACAAUCCAGUAAUGCUAAGUGUCUGAAUCCUUGAUCCGAUCCCUUCGGGGUGACGGUC
RNAcentral lists this ribosomal RNA (1219 nucleotides) under Clavibacter michiganensis subsp. michiganensis. RNAcentral describes it as "partial 23S ribosomal RNA". It matches the Rfam family "Bacterial large subunit ribosomal RNA", at positions 329 to 1519 of the family's 2925-position model. The record is from RNAcentral. Lineage: Bacteria; Bacillati; Actinomycetota; Actinomycetes; Micrococcales; Microbacteriaceae.